RNAcentral lists this ribosomal RNA (255 nucleotides) under uncultured bacterium. Its description in RNAcentral is "partial 16S ribosomal RNA". It matches the Rfam family "Bacterial small subunit ribosomal RNA", at positions 57 to 305 of the family's 1533-position model. The record is from RNAcentral.
GCAAGUCGAACGAGAACGGGCUUUAGUUUACUAAAGUUGUCAGCUAAGUGGCGCACGGGUGAGUAAUAUAUAGUUAAUCUGCCCUAGAGAGAGGGAUAACGUUUGGAAACGAACGCUAACACCUCAUAUGCCUUUAAUACAUAAGUAUGCAAGGGAAACAUUUAUGGCUCUAGGAUGGGACUGUACGGUAUCAGUUAGUUGGUGAGGUAAUGGCUCACCAAGACAAUGACACCUAACUGGUUUGAGAGGAUGAUC